GCGCUAACAGAUGAGCCCAAGUCGGAUUAGCUAGUUGGUAGGGUAAAGGCCUACCAAGGCGACGAUCCGUAACUGGUCUGAGAGGACGACCAGUCACACCGGAACUGAGACACGGUCCGG
This 120-nucleotide ribosomal RNA is filed under the name uncultured bacterium. RNAcentral's name for it is "partial 16S ribosomal RNA". It matches the Rfam family "Bacterial small subunit ribosomal RNA", at positions 215 to 334 of the family's 1533-position model. The record is from RNAcentral.